Molecule: long non-coding RNA, 7343 nt
Organism: Anolis carolinensis (green anole)
Lineage: Eukaryota; Metazoa; Chordata; Lepidosauria; Squamata; Anolidae
Exons: 2
Source: RefSeq, a predicted model, not a curated record
UUCAGUCGAAAGUGUGACAGUUCGAAGCCUGGGUCAAGGUGAGCUCCUGAUCUUUAGCCCAGCUUUUGCCUACCUAGCAAUUUGAAAGCAAACAUGUGAGUAGAUAAAUAGGAACUGCUUUAAAAAGUAGAGAGGUAUUAAGGCACCUAUAAGGAAAUGCCAGGAAAAAUGACAGCAAUCAAAAAAGGAGGAAGUUAUGAAAAAGGCUUUUCGGUAGGGAGAUGAAGCGGCUGGAAACGAGCACAAACCUCCAAGAAGUCGAAGUUGAGAAAAAGCCUAUAUACCUCUUUCUAUGUUUAAAUUGUCUGUCUUAUCUGUCUAUAAAUGAGUCCUCUUUGGAGUGAGAAGGGCGGGAUAUAAAUACUGUAUAUAAGUAAAUAAAUAAAAUAAAUAUUGGAUAGAAUUGGGUUUUGUGACCUUGGGCAUUUCAGUGACCCACACAGCAACAGAUUAUGAAUCACAAGUAUAAAACAAAGAAAAGUCAGUCUUUUACAAGAUAUAAGGCUGGAGGAAACACAGCUAUGUCAAUGCUGCACUAUUUUGAAAGUCCCAAACUGUAUUUCAAGUGUCAUAACUCCCUGCCUCCUUCAGCAAUCCUGCUAUUUUCCAAGUUUCUUGACUGGAUAAAACUUUGUGAUUUGUUCCCUUUUCAUACAUAUUUUCCCUGAAAUAAACUACAAUGAAAGGGAAAGGGAAAUGAAUCACUCUGUCGCUAAAAAUUGAUUCAUUUUAGCAGAAAUCACUGCAGCUUUAGUAAUAAAACUUGACAAAUUUCUUAAUUACCCUAAUGUCUACUCUUUCUGUUACUUUCAGAACAAUGACCUGCAGUAAGUGAUCAAAGUGGAAUCCUUCAAAUGUUGUUAGAUGUCAACUUCCGGUAUUGUCUAUUUUGACUAUUGCUGAUGAGAGCUGCAAUCCAGGAAUUUCUGAAGGACCUCCUUUUGACACCUGCUGAACAAGAGUUAAGUGUGUUCCUCCCUGAAAACUCAUAUCAAACAAAAUGUUCCCCAUGUGGAAAACAUGCCAAGCUUGAUUUCACUGAGAAAAAAGAGUUACUUUUAAAACGGUCUCCCACAGAAUACUUGGAGAAUGAUGGCACCAUAUGGUAAGCUGUAGGCAUGUCCAAUCAAUGAAAAAAAUGUUUCAAUUCUCGUUUCUAAAGUAGGGGGUGCUGGCGCUUCGAUAUAGAAAGUAUUUCCGAUUUUUUCACCCAAAAAUUUCGGAUAUUUCCGAAAAUUCGUAAUGAUUCUAAAUGUUUCUAAAAUGGCAGCCGCGCAUGCGCAAUCGCUACACACCGGGCUUGUAUGGCAAUCUUCCAUGUGGACACAGAGGACGUUAGCCCCCACCUUUGCAUCCAUCGUGGAAGCUUCUGAUUGGCCGGGGAGCGGCAGCCAUGUUAGGCUGCGCUAAGCUCCCAUUCAAGGUAGGUUGCAAUUAACGAAACAUUAAGAGACAAUUAGAGGAUGGGCCAACAAUGGUUCAAAUUACAUUGCUGGUUGAGCUGUGAGACAAUGUCUCGGAAUGCGUAUCAAAAAGCGAGAACAAUCCGAAAUAAUUCCGAUAUAUGAUUCAAAAUGAUUUUUUGGACAUGUCUAGUAAGCUGCCACUGAAGGCACUAUUACCCUGAUACAGUUCUGCUUCAUCUACCCCAUGCAAUAUAACUCUUAUCUUCCAAAUAAAGUUUCUGCAAAAUGCUAUUAGUGAUUACUCUUUCAAUUAAAAAAAACCAAUUCAAAAGUAUAUAAUAUGAUAACCCCUACACACAUUUAUAUGCAUUUUGGCAGACAUGAUCCUUUCCUAAACUGCUACUAUGUAUGGGCAUAUUACCUAUUUCUGAGAAUUAAAACAAAGAGUAUAAUUAUAUGGUGUUGUCUAUUGUUGUCACAUAGUUUAUUAUGACCUUUUGGGAUGAGUGGAGGAUAUACGAUCCACUUCACCACAGAAUUAAUAGAAAAUAAGGCUGAACUGGAAAGUUUUCAUGGGAAGAUUUUUCUUGGAUGUUGAAGUUGCGAACAGUGUUAUUUCUGAGCAGCUCAUUCUCCCCCCUCCCUCAAAUCAUCCCUUGGUUCUGAAAAUAAAGGAGGUGUUUCUGACAAAUUUUACCUGUCAGAAUACUGUCAGGUCAGUACCCUCCUUUAAAAGAGUGGUUUCCACUUGCUGUUAGGUUAAUAGUUAUCAAGUGCUUUGGUGUCAGCAGCAUGGGUCAAUUUGACCUGCAUUGCAGCUCUUUGUGUAAGCACACCUUCCAUCAGACUCAUCGUAGAUCUGUAAUUUUGUUAUGAAAGAUGGUAAUUUCAGGAAUAAUUACUUUAGGCAAAAAUCGGUGCUAGCUAAUGUAUGGAGAGUCUGUUGUUGUCUUAUUAACAGGCCAGCCCCUUUCUCUGGCUUGUUGCUUCAUGCUGCUUUCUGAACUCAGGCAGGUGAAACCAAAGGUGGGAGGGAGAGGGGGAGAGAAGAUUAGAAAUGAUAAAUGGGGUAGAAACUGCUUAAGGUCUCUGCAAAGUUUAAUGAAAGAUUUAUCUCUGGAGGCUAAUGUUCCUCUUGCUUUUACUGAAGCAAGAGUUUGAUAACCUCUCAUUGCACAUUUGAUAAAUUGCACCUUUAAGUCAUAACCAAAAAUGACUAAGUGCAUCUUCAAAACAAAAACAAAAAAAGGCUAAAGAAAGCUAUCACUGUUUCGGAAACAUGAGAAUGUAAUUAGAGAAAGAUUCAUUUGCUUCAGUAUUGGACUUCCAAGAACGGACACUUGUGAUUAAAUACAGUGGACUCUUAUCUGCAGAGGAUUUCUUCCAGGACCCCUGAUGAUUCCUAAAUCUGUACAUGCUGAAAUUGCAUUAUACACAGUGGUGAAGUAAAAUUGUGUCCCUUAUAUAAAAAGGCAAAAUUAAGGUUUCUGGGGGAAGUUUGGGGAUUUUUAAAAAAUAUUUUCAAACUGUGAAUGGUUGAAUCCUUGAACAAAAAAUCCAUGAAUAAGGGUGAGCAUUACAUCCAGCUAUUUGUCUCCAAUGCAUAUAAUCCACCUUUCUGUCUGAUCAUAGGGAACUGCACUAAAGAAAGGCAAAAAGUAAUGCAAAUGAAAAAUACAAACGCUAAUUUCAUAAUUAUAAUAUAAGGAGUCAUACAAUAUAAACUGUAGUGAAUGUAUUCAAAAGAUGAACACUGUAAUAAAUGAAUAAAUAAAUAAACAUCUCUAAGCAAAUAUUACACUAUGCAACACAAUUUUUGUUCCUGGGAUAUAAAUGUCAUUUCCCAAUUGGUUAUUUCAUAAAAAAUGGCAAAAGUUUAAUUAAACUACAAAAAUGUGCACAUUUUCAUUAAGGAAAAUAGCAAAAUUUUGAAUUUCAAGUAAUAGAAGCAGAUGAAACAAAAACAAAGUUUCUGGAGUAUAACUACCACUUUCAGAAUAAGAACCACACAAUUAAACAGGAAAUAACACUUUCAAACUAGGAACAAAACUUUUUUGACAAUUUGCUACAUAAUGUUAUAGAACCUACAUAUUUUAUGUGUGCAUGCAGGGAUAUCAGACUUUGCUAGGUAUAAUAGGAUAUAUUUUGCUAUGCAGGAACACAGUAACAUAGGUCACUGCCUAUUUACAAGACAUCUCUCAUAAGCAGAAUGAAUAUAGAGGUCAAGAACUGGUGACAUUUCUUAAGAAACAAAGGCAAGGUUUUCAAAUGAAAGGGGGGCUAUACAUAAGAACAACUGGUGGAGAUGCCUGGAUUUUUUCUCUGAAAACAGAAUAGUAGCCCCUACAUAGAUAUAUUUGAUGCUAGGUAGAAUGUCACAAGGCUCUUGGUAUCACCAUGGCGCAAUACUGCUGGUAUUAUCUAUUAAUUCACAUCAGAACUUUUCCAUGACAUUCUAGCAUUGCCAGUAGUGAGGAAUGUUGAGAGUUUCAGUUCAACAUCUGGAGAGAUGAAUGACUGCCAUCCCUAUACUGUAGCAUACUAUAUAGCUGGAGAAUAAAAUAUACACCCAAUCAUAUUGUUGCUGCUAACAAUAAACCACCAGUUAGACUGUUUUGGAAGAAUGUGUGGGGGUAUGAAAAAAAAGAGAGAAGGGAGAAAUAUUCGUGAGAUGUAGGAUAAUCUAUAGAUACACUAGAUAAAACAAACUCCUUUGUAUGUAAUAUAUGUAAAGAUAUGGGGGGGGGGACUGUUUUUAUUUUGAAAAUGGAAGUCUGAAGGAAAAGAUGGACCUCUUCACAUGGGACAUUUUUGCCCUGUUUUGCUGCUUUUAUUCAUGGCAAGGACGGGGCUUGCGGUGCGCCAUCCACUACGGAGCAAAGCAAAGUUUGGGUAGCGAUGACAGAGUUACCUGCACUUUCCUCCCUUUUUGUCGUGUCAUGGAGCAUUGAUGCUCGUUGUGCCAUCUGAUGGGGAGGGAAAGGGUGACAAAGCACCCUCUCCUGUCCCCUCCGUGUGAUGAGAAGCAGAGGGAGGGUGCAUGGGGUCCCACAAGCUUCCCUUUAGUUGGCAAUUGUUGACACAAUAGCACUGUCCAAAAGGGAAGUAUGAAGAGAUCUCAUUACUCAUUGUUUUGUUUUCAAGAAGCUUUAAAAACAAGCAAGCCCAUAAAACAAUGGUCAAACUAUUGCUGUAUACUAACCCUUCUUUCUAGUUUGCUGUUCUUGUGGCUUCUAUGCUUUUCCAAUUUCUGCUACCUUUUGUGUAGGCCAAAUGUGAAAUCUAUUGUGCAUAGUUUAUUUGCCAAACUAUGAUUUGUGGCACUGCUCUAUUUAAUUUCUUGUGCUGUUUUACAUCUACUUGAAACCACUAGAAAAAGUAAUCUGUGGAUUGGAAUCAAGAAGUCAUCAUCUCUUCAUCUUUUCCAUCUUAUUUCAAAGAGGUCACGGUAAUGCUGGAUCAGUGUCUGAAACCAGUGGAGUUGAUAAGAUCAAGUAAAUAGAAGUUCAUUUAUGAUAAGAUGGAAAUACUGUUUUUGGCUGGUUCAUCCAGGCAGAAAAGUUUGCUCUGUUCUAGAAAAAUGCACCCUUCCUCUGAUAGAUAUUUGCAUUUUGGGAAUUGGCUUGUUUGUUUGAUGCCCCAAUGUUUUCUCUACAUGGGACAUAAGGCAGCUUAUAGAGUAUAGCUGAAACCUAUUAAUAACAACCCAGGCCAGUCUCUCAUCCCCCCCCCUAAUGUUUAAAACAAGUGUACAUCAUUUUAAAAUGUUAAUAAGAGAGCCAGCAGUGGUUUGAGUGUUGAGCUCCGACUCUGCAGACUGGGGUUCAAAUCCCUGCUUGGCCACACAUGAACUUAGGCAAGACCUUUCCUCUCAGGGUGUUUCAAGACAGCACCAAAUUGCUGGUUUUAGUGAGGGGCAAAAAAUCCCGGGACUUCAGAAGAAGUCCACAUACAGAUCUGUUGGUCCCAAAAUUUCUGCCUCUGUCAUCCACACUUUAUGUGGAAAUGCUGAUAUGCAAAUUGCUGCAAAAGUUCCAUUCUUUGUACUGGCCAGAGAAACGUUGUCCUCAAAAUGUUUAAUUAAGUUUCUGGCACACAAAUAAAGUUUGUGGGGUAUGAACACUUCUGUCCCAGUCAGCACUACACAGUCAAACAAAAACACGCACUUUCAAGCUAGGAACAGAACUUUGUCAUUAUUACUAUCAUUAUGUGACCUUGCUGCCUGGCCAUCUGUGCAGACAGAUUUAGUUGUGUACUUGUGGCAUGUAACAACAGGUUUCUGUUCCAGGGUUAUACAUGCCUGUUCCUGAUUGCUCUUAUUGUGUAAAAAUGUACAAUGUUGACUAGGAGGCUACAACUUUGUCUUGGCCAGAGAAACUGUGCCCUCUACAUUUUUAAUGAAGUUUCUGCAACACAAAUAAAGAUAAUGGGGUAGGACCACUUCUGUCCAAGUUAGCACUACACAGUCAAACAGGAACAAACACUUUCAAACCAGAAACAGAACUUUGAUAUUAUUGUCACUUUUUAGAGCCUGCUUGGCCAUCUGUGCAGGCAGGUUUCAUGGUUUACUUGUGGUGUGGGACAGUAGGAUGAUGUUCCUGGGUUAAAAGUGUCUGUUACUGUUUCAUUGUAUACUACUUACUGUGAAAGUAUUUGUUUCAUCCCAGGAACUUCAUUCUUCUGCCGCAAACUUUAUUAAACCGGUGAAGGACAAAGUUCCUCUUACCAGAACAAAGUUUUUGCCAUCUUCUCAAUGUGUUGUUGAAGGCUUUCAUGGCUGUGUGUUUUCUGGGCUGUAUAGCCAUGUUCCAGAAGUAUUCUGGAACAUGACCACACAGCCCGGAAAACACACAACAAACCUUCUACUCAACUGUCACCUUUUUAGGAACCGACCAAUCAGGAACAAACAUCUAAAACCUGGGAACAAACCCAGGUAAAAAAUAUUGUGUUUUCUGAUUGCAGGGACAUCCUCCUGCGUUUUGAGGGAAUGGUGUCUGGCCACUCUCCAUUUUGCUGUGGAAGCUCCUGGGAUAAAGAAUCUUGAGGAUCAAUGAAAAAACAAGUACAUCUGGGACAGAAGCUGAAGAAAUAUCAUGGCUUAAAGAAGGAAUGAAUAUUAGUUCGACAAUAAUUUAUGAAGAAUUUCUGUUCAAAGUUUUUUCCCCUCACCUCUGAAAAUAAAUCCAAGCUUUAUAAUUAAAAAUCUUAUAGGCAAAAGAAAUUGUACUAAUGCCAUUGUGGGAAAAUUUUUAAUAGAGGAUGAUUUAAUUUUAGGCAAAUAAGAAGAUAGGCUAGAGUUAAAAUUGCUGGAAGAAACAUUAACAACCUUAGAUAUGCAGAUGAUACUACUUUGAUGGCUGAAAGUGAGGAGGAGCUGAGGAGCCUUAUAACCAAGCUGAAAGAAGAAAGUGCAAACCAAGAUUGUGGCAAUGAGACUGAUUGAUAAUUGGCAAAUAGAGGGAGAAAACCUCUGGAGGGAAGGAUAUUAGAGGCAAAGAUGAAGUACUUUGGCCACAUCAUGAGAAGACAGGAAAGCUUGGAGAAGACAAUGAUGCUGGGAAAAAUGGAAGGAAAAAGGAAGAGAGGCCGACCAAGGGCAAGAUAAAUGAAUCAUAUCCUUGAAAUGACUGGCUUGACCUUGAAGGAGCUGGGGGUGGCAACGGCUGACAGGGAGCUCUGGCGUGGGCUGGUCCAUGAGGUCAUAAAGACUUGGAAGCGACUAAACAACAAAAAGUAGAUAGAAUUGGGUUGCACUUUAAUAUUUUUAAUAUAUACAUGCCAGCUCUAAUAUGCUUAGAAUGCCACUGACACCAAAUAGUGCUUGGUUCCAUUAUAUAUGAAUCUCUGAAGCUUCUCGCUUUGAGACUUUUAACAAGAACUGUCAUAUCAGAUAUUUUACAUCAUUUUUACGGAUUGAUUAAAUAUUACUUUCUUGUA